AAUGCACAGGCAGCGAGAACUCCUGCAUGAAGGCUUCUGGAGAAGUAGGAAGGCUUAGAAUGUCGCUCACUCAUCUUUCACUUCCUGUAGCAACUGUUUCGUGCUCUUAAGUCUGGUGCGUCCAUGUCUGUCUGCACCUGGAUGGCAUCGCCUCUCCAUCUCGAGGACGCCAUCUGGAGGGGGCAGGGCAGGGUGGCUGAUCCCCUGCAGGCCCCAGCCCUGUGACUCAGCCACCAAAGCCCAAUCUCCAGCCCAAGGGAACCAAGGGUAUCUUCUUCAUCAUCCUUCCAGUCCUCUUCCCCUUCGCCGGGCUCCAGCCUCAGCUUGGCCCUCACCUCCACUCCUCUCCCCUCUCACCCCUGCCCCCAUUCCACUUCAUCUCCCUCCCUCACCUUAGGGCACCUCUGCCUGCUCCUUAUGCUGGAGUUGAUUUUCUACAAUCUCAACUCAGCCAAGAGAUCUCAUCACCUAAAAAAGUGAUGUGAACCUUAAGAUCACAUAUGUCAUAUGGGGGUGAAGGUGGGGGUGGGAGGCACUAAGGGCAGGGCAGCAGGUGGGUCAGCCCCAGGUGCUGGCAAUAGAUGGGGGUCCAGGUCAGCAGAGAACCUAAAAACAAUAAAGCAACUGAUUAGCCCGUC
This is a long non-coding RNA of Homo sapiens (human), 638 nucleotides long. RefSeq annotates it as long independently transcribed non-coding RNA 3135. The transcript is spliced from 3 exons. The record is from RefSeq and is marked validated. Lineage: Eukaryota; Metazoa; Chordata; Mammalia; Primates; Hominidae.